AUCAUGAAAGCUUGCACUGAUUUGAGGGCAGCUGGUGCCAAAACAUGGAAGAGAAAGAAACAGUUAAAUAUGAUUCAUCUGCAUUCCCCAAUUCAAUCUUGAGACACUGGGAAAAUUGUAUUCUUUCAGAAAUUCCUUCUGAGUUUGUCAGCCGUCACACAGCAUAGAAACGUUAGCAUUCAGCGAAACUGGACAUGCACCGCCACCCAGUAAACCUAGCUCUUUGGAGUAGCUUGAGGGUUAACAGCCUCACCCAACUGCAAGAUGCAAACAUUCUCCACACCCUUGAGCAGAAAAUAACAAAAAGAUACUCUGUACUCUCUGGUGAGAUGAAGAUCAGAGUCUGUGCCACAGGUCUGGAAUGCAAC
Non-coding RNA from Pogona vitticeps (central bearded dragon), 368 nucleotides. The record is from RefSeq and is a predicted model, not a curated record. Lineage: Eukaryota; Metazoa; Chordata; Lepidosauria; Squamata; Agamidae.